Molecule: ribosomal RNA, 254 nt
Filed under: uncultured bacterium
Lineage: Bacteria
Description: partial 16S ribosomal RNA
Rfam family: Bacterial small subunit ribosomal RNA
Source: RNAcentral
UACGUAGGGUGCGAGCGUUGUCCGGAAUUAUUGGGCGUAAAGAGCUCGUAGGCGGUGUGUCACGUCGGCCGUGAAAACCUUCAGCUUAACUGUGGGCGUGCGGUCGAUACGGGCAUCACUGGAGUUCGGCAGGGGAGACUGGAAUUCCUGGUGUAGCGGUGAAAUGCGCAGAUAUCAGGAGGAACACCGGUGGCGAAGGCGGGUCUCUGGGCCUUACCUGACGCUGAGGAGCGAAAGCGUGGGGAGCGAACAGG